This 497-nucleotide ribosomal RNA is filed under the name uncultured bacterium. RNAcentral describes it as "partial 16S ribosomal RNA". It matches the Rfam family "Bacterial small subunit ribosomal RNA", at positions 28 to 507 of the family's 1533-position model. The record is from RNAcentral.
GACGAACGCUGGCGGCGUGCCUAAUACAUGCAAGUUGAGCGCUGAAGGUUGGUACUUGUACCAACUGGAUGAGCAGCGAACGGGUGAGUAACGCGUGGGGAAUCUGCCUUUGAGCGGGGGACAACAUUUGGAAACGAAUGCUAAUACCGCAUAAAAACUUUAAACACAAGUUUUAAGUUUGAAAGAUGCAAUUGCAUCACUCAAAGAUGAUCCCGCGUUGUAUUAGCUAGUUGGUGAGGUAAAGGCUCACCAAGGCGAUGAUACAUAGCCGACCUGAGAGGGUGAUCGGCCACAUUGGGACUGAGACACGGCCCAAACUCCUACGGGAGGCAGCAGUAGGGAAUCUUCGGCAAUGGACGAAAGUCUGACCGAGCAACGCCGCGUGAGUGAAGAAGGUUUUCGGAUCGUAACACUCUGUUGGUAGAGAAGAACGUUGGUGAGAGUGGAAAGCUCAUCAAGUGACGGUAACUACCCAGAAAGGGACGGCUAACUACGUG